ACUCAAAUGAAUUGACGGGGGCCCGCACAAGCGGUGGAGCAUGGGGUUUAAUUCGUCACUAACCGAAGAACCUUACCCAGGCUUGACAUCCCCGGAUCGCCGGUGAAAGCCGGUUUCCCCGCAAGGGGCCGGGAGACAGGUGUUGCAUGGCUGUCGUCAGCUCGUGUCGUGAGAUGUUGGGUUAAGUCCCGCAACGAGCGCAACCCUCACUGCCUGUUGCCAGCGUGAAAGCGCGCACUCAGGCGGAACUGCCGGGGUAACCCGGAGGAAGGCGGGGAUGACGUCAAGUCGGCAUGGCCCUUAUGCCUGGGGCUACACCCAUGCUACAAUGGAUCGGACAGAGGGCAGCAAAACCGCGAGGUGGAGCGAAUCCCAAAAACCGGUCCUCAGUUGGGAUUGGAGUCUGCAACUCGACUCCAUGAACGUGGAAUCGCUAGUAACCGCCGGUCAGCCAAACGGCGGUGAAUCCGUUCCCGGGCCUUGUACACACCGCCCGU
This 497-nucleotide ribosomal RNA is filed under the name uncultured bacterium. RNAcentral's name for it is "partial 16S ribosomal RNA". It matches the Rfam family "Bacterial small subunit ribosomal RNA", at positions 899 to 1397 of the family's 1533-position model. The record is from RNAcentral.